UUCCGGCAGCUGGACUUGGAAAAGCAAGGAGUGUCGGGAAUGGCGACCAAGCGGCUCGCGCGGCAGCUUGGAUUAAUUAGGAGAAAGUCAAUUGCGCCAGCAAAUGGAAAUCUAGGAAGAAGCAAAUCCAUUGUUUGACUACUUAAUUGUCAUUGAUUUUGAAUCAACAUGCUGGAAUGAUGGGAAGCACCACCAUAGCCAGGAAAUAAUUGAGUUUCCAGCAGUGUUGC
This 230-nucleotide small RNA is filed under the name Pan troglodytes (chimpanzee). Its description in RNAcentral is "processed transcript". The record is from RNAcentral. Lineage: Eukaryota; Metazoa; Chordata; Mammalia; Primates; Hominidae.